GGAGUUGUGGCUCAGUGGUAGAGCCCUUGCCUUGCACAGAUGAGGCACUGAAUUCGAUCCUCAGCACCA
Molecule: transfer RNA, 69 nt
Filed under: Marmota monax (woodchuck)
Lineage: Eukaryota; Metazoa; Chordata; Mammalia; Rodentia; Sciuridae
Description: tRNA.Ala
Source: RNAcentral